This 227-nucleotide ribosomal RNA is filed under the name Homarus gammarus (European lobster). RNAcentral's name for it is "partial 16S ribosomal RNA". The record is from RNAcentral. Lineage: Eukaryota; Metazoa; Arthropoda; Malacostraca; Decapoda; Nephropidae.
GUGAAAAGGCUUAAAUAUUUUAAAGGGACGAUAAGACCCUAUAAAGCUUAAUAAUUUAGUAUAUAAUUAGAUGAGUUAAAAGUUUAAUAUUAUUUAUAUACUGAAUUAUUUCGUUGGGGCGACGAUGAUAUAAUUUGUAACUGUUUAAAUCUAAAAUACAGAGAUAUUUGUGUGUAAUGAUCCUUGUUGUUGAUUAAAAAUUUAAGUUACUUUAGGGAUAACAGCGU